AACCUCCGCAAUGUGAGAAAUCGCGACGGGGGGAUCCCAAGUGCCAUUCUUAACGGGAUGGCUUUUCAUUAGUGUAAAGAGCUUUUGGAAUAAGGGCUGGGCAAGACCGGUGCCAGCCGCCGCGGUAACACCGGCAGCUCUAGUGGUAGCAGUUUUUAUUGGGCCUAAAGCGUCCGUAGCCGGUUUAAUAAGUCUCUGGUGAAAUCCUGUAGCUUAACUGUGGGAAUUGCUGGAGAUACUAUUAGACUUGAGACCGGGAGAGGUUAGAGGUACUCCCAGGGUAGAGGUGAAAUUCUGUAAUCCUGGGAGGACCGCCUGUUGCGAAGGCGUCUAACUGGAACGGUUCUGACGGUGAGGGACGAAAGUUAGGGGCGCGAACCGGAUUAGAUACCCGGGUAGUCCUAACUGUAACGAUGCGGACUUAGUGUUGGGGUGGCUUUGAGCUGCUCCAGUGCCGAAGGGAAGCUGUUAAGUCCGCCGCCUGGGAAGUACGGUCGCAAGACUGAAACUUAAAGGAAUU
This 520-nucleotide ribosomal RNA is filed under the name uncultured bacterium. Its description in RNAcentral is "bacterial SSU rRNA". It matches the Rfam family "Archaeal small subunit ribosomal RNA", at positions 345 to 866 of the family's 1478-position model. The record is from RNAcentral.